UGAAACAAAUAAUAAUAAAUAGAUCAUUCUAAGAUAAUAAUUGUGGUUGGUAAUGCUAAAAUAAUAACAAUUGUGUAGUUCUUCAUCUUCAAAUCCUUCUCAAUAUUUAUAUAACUAGUGGUCAAGUGUAUACAAAAUGCCUUCUCCAUAUCUAUGAAAUGAUAUAACAUAACAUUUUCUCAAUUCUUUUAUCCUCUUUCAAUUCACCAAGAACCAUAUAAUCAACUUCUAUUAUCUUCUUUCUCGUCCAUUGUUUCUAAACGUACAAAAUAAAAUACUAUUUCAUUUUAUGCAUUAUUUCUCCUCUUCUAAUUCACUAAAGAGGCUUAUCAUUGAUUCUACUUUUUUUUCCCUCAUUUGUUGUUUCCAAAACCUUGCUUGAUCCAGUAAGUAAGAAGAAAAUUCACAAACAAGGGAAAGGAAACUUGCAGGGAGAAUGAAAAACAAAGAUGUGCAGCAAUCCAGUGGAGAAAUGCACUACUGCCAAGGUGACACUUUUGCAGCUUAAUAUGCACAGCAUGGACUAAUCUAUCUGGUAUAAUUCAGGACUUAAUUUUCAGAACUACCAUUGCAUUUAUUUAUAGCAUUAAAA
This 592-nucleotide unclassified non-coding RNA is filed under the name Hevea brasiliensis (rubber tree). Lineage: Eukaryota; Viridiplantae; Streptophyta; Magnoliopsida; Malpighiales; Euphorbiaceae. The record is from RNAcentral.